Neomonachus schauinslandi (Hawaiian monk seal) is the source of this 573-nucleotide non-coding RNA. NCBI's taxonomy places the organism in Eukaryota, Metazoa, Chordata, Mammalia, Carnivora, Phocidae. The record is from the annotation of a RefSeq genome assembly.
GUGCCUCAGGGAGAAAAUCGGGGCACCUGCGCCAUGGCCUGGACCCCUCUUCUCCUCGCAUUCCUGGCUCACUGCACAGGUUCCAUGGCUGCCUACGUGCUGACUCAGCCCCCCUCGAUGUCAGUGAGCCUGGGACAGACGGCCAGGAUCACGUGUGGGGGAGACAACAUUGGAAGUAACUAUGCUUCCUGGUACCAACAGAAGCCAGGCCAGGCCCCCGUGACGAUUAUCUAUGGUGAUAGCAGCCGGCCCUCAGGGAUCCCUGACCGAUUCUCAGGCACCAACUCGGGGAACACGGCCACCCUGACCAUCAGCGGGGCCCGGGCCGAGGACGAGGCUGACUAUUACUGUCUGUCAUCAGCAAGCAGUGCUGAUGCUCACGGUUCUGUGGCCUCCUAUGAGCUGACUCAGCCCCCAUCUGUGUCUGUGACCCUGGGACAAACAGCCCGGAUCACCUGUGGGGGAAACAACAUUGGAAGUAAAAAUGUUUCCUGGUACCAACAGAAGCCGGGCCAGGCCCCCGUGACGAUUAUCUAUGGUGAUAGCAGCCGGCCCUCAGGGAUCCCUGACUGA